GCCGUCAUAGCUCAGUUGGUAGAGCACUUCCAUGGUAAGGAAGAGGUCGCCGGUUCGAUUCCGUUUGACGGCUCCA
RNAcentral lists this transfer RNA (76 nucleotides) under Minisyncoccota bacterium. RNAcentral describes it as "tRNA-Thr". It matches the Rfam family "tRNA". From Rfam's summary of the family: Transfer RNA (tRNA) molecules are approximately 80 nucleotides in length. The record is from RNAcentral. Lineage: Bacteria; Bacillati; Minisyncoccota.